AACCCAGUCUGUAAACCCACAACCAGUCUGUAAACCCACAUCAUAUAAAACCAGAAUAUUUCUGUUUGCCCCAAUUUUGAUUAAACAGCUUUGGUCCAUUUUGGUCUAUUUGUCCUCCAUACUGCUGUCCCCUACCCUAGUGUUAGAGGAGGUCCUAGUCUGUCCCCUACCCUAGUGUUAGAGGAGGUCCUAGUCUGUCCCCUACCCUAGUGUUAGAGGAGGUCUGUCUCCUCCAUACUGCUGUCCCCUACCCUAGUGUUAGAGGAGGUCCUAGUCUGUCCCCUACCCUAGUGUUAGAGGAGGUCCUAGUCUGUCCCCUACCCUAGUGUUAGAG
Long non-coding RNA from Oncorhynchus tshawytscha (Chinook salmon), 334 nucleotides. RefSeq lists it as uncharacterized. The transcript has 3 exons. The record is from RefSeq and is a predicted model, not a curated record. Lineage: Eukaryota; Metazoa; Chordata; Actinopteri; Salmoniformes; Salmonidae.